AACGAACGCUGGCGGCAGGCUUAAUACAUGCAAGUCGAACGCUCCAGCAAUGGAGAGUGGCAGACGGGUGAGUAACGCGUGGGAAUCUACCCAAUACUACGGAAUAGCUCCGGGAAACUGGAAUUAAUACCGUAUGUGCCCUACGGGGGAAAGAUUUAUCGGUAUUGGAUGAGCCCGCGUUGGAUUAGCUAGUUGGUGGGGCAAUGGCCUACCAAGGCGACGAUCCAUAGCUGGUCUGAGAGGAUGAUCAGCCACACUGGGACUGAGGACACGGCCCAGACUCCUACGGGAGGCAGCAGUAGGGAAUAUUGGACAAUGGGCGAAAGCCUGAUCCAGCCAUGCCGCGUGAGUGAUGAAGGCCUUAGGGUUGUAAAGCUCUUUCAGUGGGGAAGAUAAUGACGGUACCCACAGAAGAAGCCCCGGCUAACUUCGUGCCAGCCGCCGCCGUAA
This 450-nucleotide ribosomal RNA is filed under the name uncultured bacterium. RNAcentral's name for it is "partial 16S ribosomal RNA". It matches the Rfam family "Bacterial small subunit ribosomal RNA", at positions 29 to 523 of the family's 1533-position model. The record is from RNAcentral.